UCCUAGAGGAUAGGACGUUUCCCCUUCGGGGGACAGAGUGACAGGUGGUGCAUGGUUGUCGUCAGCUCGUGUCGUGAGAUGNUGGGUUAAGUCCCGCAACGAGCGCAACCCUUGUUCUUAGUUGCCAGCAUUNAGUUGGGCACUCUAAGGAGACUGCCGGUGACAAACCGGAGGAAGGUGGGGAUGACGUCAAAUCAUCAUGCCCCUUAUGACCUGGGCUACACACGUGCUACAAUGGAUGGUACAAAGGGCUGCAAGACCGCGAGGUUUAGCCAAUCCCAUAAAACCAUUCUCAGUUCGGAUUGUAGGCUGCAACUCGCCUACAUGAAGCCGGAAUCGCUAGUAAUCGCGGAUCACGCAUGCCGCGGUGAAUACGUUCCCGGGCCUUGUACACACCGCCCGUCACACCACGAGAGUUUGUAACACCCGAAGUCGGUGGGGUAACCGU
RNAcentral lists this ribosomal RNA (448 nucleotides) under bacterium c1cc46. Its description in RNAcentral is "bacterial SSU rRNA". It matches the Rfam family "Bacterial small subunit ribosomal RNA", at positions 998 to 1442 of the family's 1533-position model. The record is from RNAcentral.